AGAUCGAACUAUAGAGUUUGAUCCUGGCUCAGAUUGAACGCUGGCGGAAUGCUUUACACAUGCAAGUCGAACGGCAGCACGG
This 82-nucleotide ribosomal RNA is filed under the name Betaproteobacteria bacterium. RNAcentral describes it as "partial 16S ribosomal RNA". It matches the Rfam family "Bacterial small subunit ribosomal RNA", at positions 1 to 77 of the family's 1533-position model. The record is from RNAcentral. Lineage: Bacteria; Pseudomonadati; Pseudomonadota; Betaproteobacteria.